This 429-nucleotide ribosomal RNA is filed under the name Chloroflexota bacterium. Its description in RNAcentral is "Chloroflexi bacterium partial 16S ribosomal RNA". It matches the Rfam family "Bacterial small subunit ribosomal RNA", at positions 355 to 776 of the family's 1533-position model. Lineage: Bacteria; Bacillati; Chloroflexota. The record is from RNAcentral.
UGGGGAAUAUUGCACAAUGGGCGCAAGCCUGAUGCAGCCAUGCCGCGUGUAUGAAGAAGGCCUUCGGGUUGUAAAGUACUUUCAGUCGGGAGGAAGGUGGUAAGGUUAAUAACCUUAUCAAUUGACGUUACCUACAGAAGAAGCACCGGCUAACUCCGUGCCAGCAGCCGCGGUAAUACGGAGGGUGCAAGCGUUAAUCGGAAUUACUGGGCGUAAAGCGCACGCAGGCGGUUGAUUGAGUCAGAUGUGAAAUCCCCGGGCUUAACCCGGGAAUUGCAUCUGAUACUGGUCAGCUAGAGUCUUGUAGAGGGGGGUAGAAUUCCAUGUGUAGCGGUGAAAUGCGUAGAGAUGUGGAGGAAUACCGGUGGCGAAGGCGGCCCCCUGGACAAAGACUGACGCUCAGGUGCGAAAGCGUGGGGAGCAAACAGG